GCUCCCGUGGCGGAACGGAAUACGCACUAGACCGAGGAUCUAGUUUUUGCAGGUUCAAAUCCUGCCGGGAGUACCA
RNAcentral lists this transfer RNA (76 nucleotides) under Symploca sp. SIO2D2. Its description in RNAcentral is "tRNA-Leu". It matches the Rfam family "tRNA". From Rfam's summary of the family: Transfer RNA (tRNA) molecules are approximately 80 nucleotides in length. Their secondary structure includes four short double-helical elements and three loops (D, anti-codon, and T loops). Lineage: Bacteria; Bacillati; Cyanobacteriota; Cyanophyceae; Coleofasciculales; Coleofasciculaceae. The record is from RNAcentral.